UGGGGAAUAUUGGACAAUGGGCGAAAGCCUGAUCCAGCCAUGCCGCGUGAGUGAUGAAGGCCCUAGGGUUGUAAAGCUCUUUCGACGGGGACGAUAAUGACGGUACCCGUAGAAGAAGCCCCGGCUAACUUCGUGCCAGCAGCCGCGGUAAUACGAAGGGGGCUAGCGUUGCUCGGAAUCACUGGGCGUAAAGGGCGCGUAGGCGGAUCUUUAAGUCAGGGGUGAAAGCCUGAGGCUCAACCUCAGAAUUGCCUUUGAUACUGAAGAUCUUGAGACCGGAAGAGGUAAGUGGAACUGCGAGUGUAGAGGUGAAAUUCGUAGAUAUUCGCAAGAACACCAGUGGCGAAGGCGGCUUACUGGUCCGGUUCUGACGCUGAGGCGCGAAAGCGUGGGGAGCAAACAG
RNAcentral lists this ribosomal RNA (403 nucleotides) under uncultured bacterium. RNAcentral's name for it is "bacterial SSU rRNA". It matches the Rfam family "Bacterial small subunit ribosomal RNA", at positions 355 to 775 of the family's 1533-position model. The record is from RNAcentral.